CUAAGGUAGCAUAAUCAUUUGUUAUUUAAUUGGUGACUGGAAUGAAAGGUUAAACUAGCUUAUUAAGUUUGUGAGAUUAAAUAGUAUCUUAAAGUUAAGGUAAAAAUUCUUUAAUUUACUAGGGGACGAUAAGACCCUAGAAGCUUAACAAGCAGAAAUUUUUGUGUUACAAGAUUGUUUGUUUUACUGGGGCGGUAAAAAUAAUUAAGCUAUUUAGUAGUUAUAAGAUCCUUUAAAUAAAGAUAAAAUGGGGAAGUUACUCUAGGGAUAA
This 271-nucleotide ribosomal RNA is filed under the name Gammarus balcanicus. RNAcentral describes it as "partial 16S ribosomal RNA". The record is from RNAcentral. Lineage: Eukaryota; Metazoa; Arthropoda; Malacostraca; Amphipoda; Gammaridae.